This 465-nucleotide ribosomal RNA is filed under the name Vreelandella stevensii. Its description in RNAcentral is "partial 16S ribosomal RNA". It matches the Rfam family "Bacterial small subunit ribosomal RNA", at positions 338 to 795 of the family's 1533-position model. Lineage: Bacteria; Pseudomonadati; Pseudomonadota; Gammaproteobacteria; Oceanospirillales; Halomonadaceae. The record is from RNAcentral.
CCUACGUGUGGCUGCAGUGGGGAAUAUUGGACAAUGGGCGAAAGCCUGAUCCAGCCAUGCCGCGUGUGUGAAGAAGGCCUUCGGGUUGUAAAGCACUUUCAGUGGGGAAGAAAGCCUUGGGGCUAAUACCCUCGAGGAAGGACAUCACCCACAGAAGAAGCACCGGCUAACUCCGUGCCAGCAGCCGCGGUAAUACGGAGGGUGCGAGCGUUAAUCGGAAUUACUGGGCGUAAAGCGCGCGUAGGCGGUCUGAUAAGCCGGUUGUGAAAGCCCCGGGCUCAACCUGGGAACGGCAUCCGGAACUGUCAGGCUAGAGUGCAGGAGAGGAAGGUAGAAUUCCCGGUGUAGCGGUGAAAUGCGUAGAGAUCGGGAGGAAUACCAGUGGCGAAGGCGGCCUUCUGGACUGACACUGACGCUGAGGUGCGAAAGCGUGGGUAGCAAACAGGAUUAGAUACCCGGGUAGUC